RNAcentral lists this ribosomal RNA (316 nucleotides) under uncultured Bacteroidales bacterium. RNAcentral describes it as "partial 16S ribosomal RNA". The record is from RNAcentral. Lineage: Bacteria; Pseudomonadati; Bacteroidota; Bacteroidia; Bacteroidales.
GGAGUCUGGUCCGUGUCUCAGUACCAGUGUGGGGGACCUUCCUCUCAGAACCCCUACGCAUCGUCGCCUUGGUGGGCCGUUGCCCCGCCAACAAGCUAAUGCGCCGCAUGCCCAUCCCUGGACGAAGUUCUAUCACACGGCCGUCAUGCGGCAGCCGUGCAUACGGGGUAUUAGGCCGCGUUUCCGCGGGUUAUCCCCCAACCAGGGGCAGGUUGCAUACGUGUUACUCACCAGUGCGCCGGUCGCCGUCGGCAGUAUUGCUACCGCCACGCUGCCCCUCGACUUGCAUGUGUUAAGCCUGUCGCUAGCGUUCAUC